This 252-nucleotide ribosomal RNA is filed under the name uncultured bacterium. Its description in RNAcentral is "partial 16S ribosomal RNA". It matches the Rfam family "Bacterial small subunit ribosomal RNA", at positions 524 to 775 of the family's 1533-position model. The record is from RNAcentral.
UACGAAGGGGGGCUAGCGUUGCUCGGAAUUACUGGGCGUAAAGGGCGCGUAGGCGGCACUGUUAGUCAGGCGUGAAAGUCCUGGGCUCAACCUGGGAACUGCGCUUGAUACGGCAGAGCUAGAGGAUGGAAGAGGGUCGCGGAAUUCCCAGUGUAGAGGUGAAAUUCGUAGAUAUUGGGAAGAACACCGGUGGCGAAGGCGGCGACCUGGUCCAUUACUGACGCUGAGGCGCGAAAGUGUGGGAGCGAACAG